This 246-nucleotide long non-coding RNA is filed under the name Anas platyrhynchos platyrhynchos (common mallard). RNAcentral's name for it is "lncRNA (ENSAPLG00000029039.1)". The record is from RNAcentral. Lineage: Eukaryota; Metazoa; Chordata; Aves; Anseriformes; Anatidae.
CAUGUUACUGCGGUCAAGCAUAUUGCAAAUGUGUGACGAACUUCUCUGCCAUGCCAUCUGCUUCUCCCUGACCCAUGCCAGGCACCUGACAAGAGCUUCAUAUUUGUGUCAACUCAAGAUGACAGCAUUCCAGCCUUAAUGUUUUGAGUACCUCUCUGGGCAGCUCUUUGAUGUGAGGAAAUGGAGAAGCAACAGUGUCUGCUUGGGAAAAUGAGGGCGAAUGGCCAUAUCAAGGUGCUGCCUGCC